UCUGGGCCUGAGAAGUGACCUGUGUCAGUUCCAGACCAAAGCAGUUUCAGAAAAGGACAUUAUUGAACACACUGAUGGAAUUCUGGAUUUCUGGUCCUAUGUUGAACAAAAGCGAUGAGAGUGGACAUCUUUGUCUUAUUCCAGAUCGUAGGGGAAAGCUAUUCUUCACCAGUUCUUCACCAUUGAGUAUGAUGUUCACCGAGUUUUUCACAGACAGCCGAUAUUGUUGAGAUUGCCUAUCUAGUUAAUACUGGCUGUGAUUGAGUUCUAACUUAGGGAAAUGAUUGCCAUAAGAAAGAACCGACGAA
Long non-coding RNA from Neogale vison (American mink), 308 nucleotides. RefSeq lists it as uncharacterized. The record is from RefSeq and is a predicted model, not a curated record. Lineage: Eukaryota; Metazoa; Chordata; Mammalia; Carnivora; Mustelidae. The transcript has 3 exons.